CCUCCGGGGGGCAGCGGUCGGGAAUCUUCCACCAUGGGCGAAAGCCUGAUGGAGCCCCUCCUCUUUUUUUACGAAGGUCUUCGGAUCGUAAAACCCUGUUGUUAGAGAGGAAAGUGCGUGAGAGUAACUGUUCACGUUUCGACGGUAUCUAACCAGAAAGCCACGGCUAACUACGUGCCAGCAGCCGCGGUAAUACGUAGGUGGCAAGCGUUAUCCGGAUUUAUUGGGCGUAAAGGGAACGCAGGCGGUCUUUUAAGUCUGAUGUGAAAGCCUUCGGCUUAACCGGAGUAGUGCAUUGGAAACUG
Molecule: ribosomal RNA, 305 nt
Filed under: uncultured bacterium
Lineage: Bacteria
Description: bacterial SSU rRNA
Rfam family: Bacterial small subunit ribosomal RNA
Source: RNAcentral